Molecule: ribosomal RNA, 435 nt
Filed under: uncultured bacterium
Lineage: Bacteria
Description: partial 16S ribosomal RNA
Rfam family: Bacterial small subunit ribosomal RNA
Source: RNAcentral
GAUGAACGCUGGCGGUAUGCUUAACACAUGCAAGUCGAACGGACUCUUCGGAGUUAGUGGCGGACGGGUGAGUAACGCGUGAGAAUCUGGCUUUGGGUUCGGGACAACCACUGGAAACGGUGGCUAAUACCGGAUGUGCCGAGAGGUAAAAGAGAAAUUGCCUGAAGAUGAGCUCGCGUCUGAUUAGCUAGUUGGUGAGGUAAAGGCUCACCAAGGCAGCGAUCAGUAGCUGGUCUGAGAAGAUGACCAGCCACACUGGGACUGAGACACGGCCCAGACUCCUACGGGAGGCAGCAGUGGGGAAUUUUCCGCAAUGGGCGAAAGCCUGACGGAGCAAUACCGCGUGAGGGAAGAAGGCUCUUGGGUUGUAAACCUCUUUUCUUAGGGAAGAACAAAAUGACGGUACCUAAGGAAUCAGCAUCGGCUAACUCCGUG